AUACGGAGGGUCCGAGCGUUAUCCGGAAUCAUUGGGUUUAAAGGGUCCGUAGGCGGGAAUCUAAGUCAGUGGUGAAAUCUUGCAGCUCAACUGUAAAAUUGCCAUUGAUACUGGAUUUCUUGAAUUAGUGUGAAGUGGUUAGAAUGUGUAGUGUAGCGGUGAAAUGCAUAGAUAUUACACAGAAUACCAAUUGCGAAGGCAGAUCACUAACACUAUAUUGACGCUAAGGGACGAAAGCGUGGGGAGCGAACAGGAUUAGAAACCCCUGUAGUCC
This 274-nucleotide ribosomal RNA is filed under the name uncultured bacterium. RNAcentral's name for it is "partial 16S ribosomal RNA". It matches the Rfam family "Bacterial small subunit ribosomal RNA", at positions 523 to 796 of the family's 1533-position model. The record is from RNAcentral.